RNAcentral lists this ribosomal RNA (450 nucleotides) under uncultured Anaerolineaceae bacterium. RNAcentral's name for it is "bacterial SSU rRNA". It matches the Rfam family "Bacterial small subunit ribosomal RNA", at positions 919 to 1382 of the family's 1533-position model. Lineage: Bacteria; Bacillati; Chloroflexota; Anaerolineae; Anaerolineales; Anaerolineaceae. The record is from RNAcentral.
ACCCGCACAAGCAGCGGAGCGUGUGGUUUAAUUCGAUGCUACACGAAGAACCUUACCAAGGUUUGACAUGUAAGUGGUAGUGAUCUGAAAAGUGAACGACCCUUCGGGGAGCUUACACAGGUGCUGCAUGGCUGUCGUCAGCUCGUGUCGUGAGAUGUUCGGUUAAGUCCGCUAACGAGCGCAACCCUCACUGUGUGUUACAUGUGUCACACGGGACUGCCGGUUUUAAGCCGGAGGAAGGCGAGGAUGACGUCAAGUCAGCAUGGCCUUUAUAUCUUGGGCUACACACACGCUACAAUGGUCUGCACAAUAGGUUGCCAAGCCGCGAGGCGGAGCCAAUCCAUAAAGCAGGCCUCAGUUCAGAUUGCAGGCUGCAACCCGCCUGCAUGAAGAUGGAGUUGCUAGUAACCGCAGGUCAGCUAUACUGCGGUGAAUACGUUCCCGGGUCUU